AGGACGAACGCUGGCGGCGUGACUUCAAACAUGCAAGUCGAACGGAGUUAAGUGAAAGCUUGCUUUUACUUAACUUAGUGGCGGACUGGUGAGUAACGCGUGAACAAUCUGCCUAUCACAGGGGGAUAACAGUUGGAAACGACUGCUAAUACCGCAUAAGACCACAGGGUGGCAUCACCUAGGGGUCAAAGGAGUUAAAUCUGGUGAUAGAUGAGUUUGCGUAUCAUUAGCUAGUUGGUGAGGGUAAAGGCCCACCAAGGCAACGAUGAUUAGCCGAUCUGAGAGGAUGACCGGCCACACUGGGACUGAGAUACGGCCCAGACUCCUACGGGAGGCAGGCAGUUAGGAAUAUUGGGCAAUGGAGGAAACUCUGACCCAAGCAACGCCGCGUGAAGGAAGAAGGUUUUCGGACUGUAAACUUCUGAUCUGAGGGAAAAGAAAGUGAUGGUACCUCAGGAGAAAGCCACGGCUAACUACGUGCCAGCAGCUGC
RNAcentral lists this ribosomal RNA (491 nucleotides) under uncultured bacterium. RNAcentral describes it as "bacterial SSU rRNA". It matches the Rfam family "Bacterial small subunit ribosomal RNA", at positions 26 to 518 of the family's 1533-position model. The record is from RNAcentral.